RNAcentral lists this ribosomal RNA (911 nucleotides) under uncultured archaeon. Its description in RNAcentral is "bacterial SSU rRNA". It matches the Rfam family "Archaeal small subunit ribosomal RNA", at positions 1 to 922 of the family's 1478-position model. The record is from RNAcentral.
UCYGGUUGAUCCUGCCRGACCCGACUGCUAUCAGAGUGGGACUAAGCCAUGCGAGUCAACAUAGCAAUAUGUGGCAUACGGCUCAGUAACACGUAGUCAACAUGCCCAGGGGACGUGGAUAACCUCGGGAAACUGAGGAUAAACCGCGAUAGGUCACUACUUCUGGAAUGGGUAAUGACUUAAAUCUAUAUGGCCCCUGGAUUGGACUGCGGCCGAUCAGGCUGUUGGUGAGGUAAUGGCCCACCAAACCUGUAACCGGUACGGGCUCUGAGAGGAGGAGCCCGGAGAUGGGCACUGAGACAAGGGCCCAGGCCCUAUGGGGCGCAGCAGGCGCGAAACCUCUGCAAUAGGCGAAAGCCUGACAGGGUUACUCUGAGUGAUUUCCGUUAAGGAGAUCUUUUGGCACCUCUAAAAAUGGUGCAGAAUAAGGGGUGGGCAAGUCUGGUGUCAGCCGCCGCGGUAAUACCAGCACCCCGAGUGGUCGGGACGUUUAUUGGGCCUAAAGCAUCCGUAGCCGGUUCUACAAGUCUUCCGUUAAAUCCACCUGCUUAACAGAUGGGCUGCGGAAGAUACUAUGGAGCUAGGAGGCGGGAGAGGCAAGCGGUACUCGAUGGGUAGGGGUAAAAUCCGUUGAUCCAUUGAAGACCACCAGUGGCGAAGGCGGCUUGCCAGAACGCGCUCGACGGUGAGGGAUGAAAGCUGGGGGAGCAAACCGGAUUAGAUACCCGGGUAGUCCCAGCUGUAAACGAUGCAGACUCGGUGAUGAAUUGGCUUCAUGCCAAUUCAGUGCCGCAGGGAAGCCGUUAAGUUUGCCGCCUGGGGAGUACGGUCGCAAGACUGAAACUUAAAGGAAUUGGCGGGGGAGCACCACAAGGGGUGAAGCCUGCGGUUCAAUUGGABUCAACGCCGGR